Molecule: long non-coding RNA, 2137 nt
Organism: Corvus moneduloides (New Caledonian crow)
Lineage: Eukaryota; Metazoa; Chordata; Aves; Passeriformes; Corvidae
Source: Ensembl
GCCUGUAGAAUGAGCCCUAGCAUCUUCUGGAUUUGAUGCUUUGCCUCAUGGGUCUUCAGUAUACAUUAUAGCAAAUGUGUCCUUCAGGGAAGGACAUUGGGGCUGGCUAGGGUUUGCCUACACAGUUUGCUUUUUUGAAGGCUUUGUCCUGUCAAAGCUUCCUAGGAGGAGGUAAAUUCGUUCUAAACUUUCUGUUAAGAAGAAAAAACUCCACAGUUACUUGCCACUAGAUGUCAGAAAAACCACAUGGUUCAGCUAGAGUAGAAGAUCUAACUGAGGGGUUUUGUUGGCUGUUUAAGCACUUGCAUAACGCUUUGGAUGGGUCCCAAAGAAAACAAUUAGAAAUUUGAGUUUAUUUUUGUUUGCAUGAAAUAGUAAAUAUGCCAUUGGGUCAGACUCUCCUCUUAUUGCCCCCAGAGAAAAUUUGAAAUAAACUUUUUGUCAAGAGUUAUACCAUCCUGGAAAAUGGAACCGCUUUUACUCUCGUCAGCAAAACCUUCUCAUCUAGAGUGCUGUGGUUUUCUAUUCUCUAUAUAAAGCUGGUCUCUGAAUUUUAGGCAACUCUACCGGAAAUGUGGUGGAAGGUUGCUGCUGGUGGGAAGACUGAGAGCAGCCCUAGCUCAGAUCAGAACUGCACUGAGAGGAUAUUUUCAAACUGUGACAGAAACUAUAACCUAGAGGUCUACAUACUCAACCAUGAGAGCUCAUAAAUGCUGGUUCAUACCAUUGGGAUAAUACCUUAUGCUUGAAGUCAGAGGCUUUGCUCAAGAGGCUGUGCCCAUUGAUAGAAACAAGUGGUUAGAAGUGUCUAUGAAGGAGUCAUUACAAUUUUUUUUUUUGAUGAUGCUAUGGCUGAUUUUGAUUUAAAAAGAAGCCAUGAGAAAGCAGGGUAGUAUUUUUCUUAGCCUUCCACUACUGACCUUCAUUUUCUUUAAAGCAUUCCUUUGAAAUAAACAGAAUGUGGUUUUGUUUUCUCUGAAGAUAAUUUAGGAGUAUUAGUAAAGAUUUGUUUGAUAUUUUGAUAUUAGCAAUUUGGUAUUAAAUUGCAUGAGGUAAUUUUACUUUUAAUGCCAAAGGUUCAUGUAUUUAUCUUCAUCAUGUCUACAAGCUGGAUAGUAAUUUUUGCUAUGGGCACAAGCAACAUGUCAACAGCCAGAUAAUCCAUUUCAGAAAAACAGAUUUUCUGACCUUAUUUUCACAAGAAUAUAGAUCUGCUCAGCUUCUUCUAUUAAACAGAAGCCAAAGUUGUGGAGGAAAUAGCUAGCAGUUUAGCAUUUUAAAAUAUUAGAUUAUGCUAAUCUAAAGUCAGUCUACCUCAAAAUAGGAAUAAAUCACAACAUAUAAUUUUGAAAAAAUGGCAGAUCCUGAUUAAUUCUAGAGUAAUGUUUCUCCUCAGCGGUAUCAAACCUGGGUUCCUUAAGUCUCUCGUUGAAAACACUGAGAUAUGUAAAGAAAAAUAACAGGUAAAAUGCACCACAGUUUCUCAAAAUGAAAAUCUCCGAAGAAUGGCUCAAAGGCAUUUCAAACCUCUGUAAGGAGGAAAAACCACCAGCCACUCUGGACUGAAUACUUGUGUUUUAAACUUAUAAAUGGGAUUGCAAGGUGAUAAAAUCUGCAGGGUGAUUUUUAGACAGGAAGCUGAAAUUCUUGCAUCUGAAGCACUAAAAUGUGACAACCAUUGCAUGUAUUUUUAAAACAGGUGUGAAAAAUCACAGCUAUCUGCUUUCAAUAAAGAAAGAGUAGGAAAUCCACAAUAAAGCAAUAGACCCAUAAACUUUAAAAUAUGCACAUGCAGCAGGUGCUGAUAUGUACAACAAUAUUUGAAUGCAAUAAAAUGUCUGACUAUUGUCCAAAAAGAACUGCAGCCAAGAUACGGCAUUUGGCUAUAUUCUGCCCUUGACUAGAAUUAGUUCAGAUAUCCAAAGCUAGCAUGUAUUAGAUAAAGAGAGGAAAUUUCUUUAGGAAAGACAAUGGGAAAUGUGUUCUGGUUCAAGUCACUUGCUUUACUCUGUUGAGAGGUCUCUAUUGUUUUGGGAGUUUUUAGCUCUUUUUUUCCUAAUGGAUGAUUCAUUUGAAAUGUGAAUUUUUCACCCUUUCAUUCCCAAAAUUUUUGUGACUAUGACUAGCUCCCAAAGAU